RNAcentral lists this unclassified non-coding RNA (353 nucleotides) under soil metagenome. Its description in RNAcentral is "partial contains 5.8S ribosomal RNA, internal transcribed spacer 2, and large subunit ribosomal RNA". The stretch from base 1 to 120 matches the Rfam family "5.8S ribosomal RNA", at positions 35 to 154 of the family's 154-position model. The record is from RNAcentral.
GAUGAAGAACGUAGCGAAAUGCGAUAAGUAAUGUGAAUUGCAGAAUUCAGUGAAUCAUCGAAUCUUUGAACGCACAUUGCGCCCGCCAGUAUUCUGGCGGGCAUGCCUGUUCGAGCGUCAUUACAACCCUCAGGCCCCCGGGCCUGGCGUUGGGGAUCGGCGAGGCGCCCCCCGCGGGCACGCGCCGUCCCCCAAAUACAGUGGCGGUCCCGCCGCAGCUUCCAUUGCGUAGUAGCUAACACCUCGCAGCUGGAGAGCGGCGCGGCCAUGCCGUAAAACACCCAACUUCUGAAUGUUGACCUCGAAUCAGGUAGGAAUACCCGCUGAACUUAAGCAUAUCAAUAAGCGGAGGA